AGCGAACGCUGGCGGCAGGCCUAACACAUGCAAGUCGAGCGCCCCGCAAGGGAGCGGCAGACGGGAGAGUAACACGUGGGAACGUACCCUUUGGUUCGGAACAACCCAGGGAAACUUGGGCUAAUACCGGAUAAGUCCGUAAGGAGAAAGAUUUAUCGCCAAUGGAUCGGCCCGCGUCUGAUUAGCUAGUUGGUGAGGUAAUGGCUCACCAAGGCGACGAUCAGUAGCUGGUCGAGAGGAUGAUCAGCCUCACUGGGACUGAGACACGGCCCAGACUCCUACGGGAGGCAGCAGUGGGGAAUAUUGGACAAUGGGCGCAAGCCUGAUCCAGCCAUGCCGCGUGGAGGAUGAAGGCUUUCGGUUGUAACUCCUGUCAUUUUGAGAACGAAGGUGCAUUACGGUUAACUGCCGAUGCAUUGAUAGUAUCAGAAGAGGAAGAGACGGCU
This 446-nucleotide ribosomal RNA is filed under the name uncultured bacterium. Its description in RNAcentral is "bacterial SSU rRNA". It matches the Rfam family "Bacterial small subunit ribosomal RNA", at positions 29 to 498 of the family's 1533-position model. The record is from RNAcentral.